This 898-nucleotide ribosomal RNA is filed under the name uncultured bacterium. Its description in RNAcentral is "bacterial SSU rRNA". It matches the Rfam family "Bacterial small subunit ribosomal RNA", at positions 26 to 902 of the family's 1533-position model. The record is from RNAcentral.
AGAACGAACGCUGGCGGCGUGCUUAACACAUGCAAGUCGAACGCGAAAGGGACUUCGGUCCUGAGUAAAGUGGCGCACGGGUGAGUAACGCGUGGAUAAUCUACCCAAUGGUCUGGGAUAACAUUUCGAAAGGGGUGCUAAUACCGGAUAAGACCACGGAGUCUCUGGACUCUGCGGUAAAAGGUGGGGACCUUCGGGCCUACCGCAAUUGGAUGAGUCCGCGUACCAUUAGCUAGUUGGUAGGGUAAAGGCCUACCAAGGCUACGAUGGUUAGCUGGUCUGAGAGGAUGAUCAGCCACACUGGAACUGAGACACGGUCCAGACUCCUACGGGAGGCAGCAGUGAGGAAUUUUGCGCAAUGGGGGAAACCCUGACGCAGCAACGCCGCGUGAGUGAUGAAGGCCUUCGGGUCGUAAAGCUCUGUCAGAGGGGAAGAAAUGCAGGGUGCUAAUAUCGCUUCUGCUUGACGGUACCCUCAAAGGAAGCACCGGCUAACUCCGUGCCAGCAGCCGCGGUAAUACGGAGGGUGCGAGCGUUGUUCGGAAUUAUUGGGCGUAAAGCGCGUGUAGGCGGUUUGUUAAGUCUGAUGUGAAAGCCCCGGGCUCAACCUGGGAAGUGCAUUGGAAACUGGCAGACUUGAAUACGGGAGAGGGUAGUGGAAUUCCUAGUGUAGGAGUGAAAUCCGUAGAUAUUAGGAGGAACACCGGUGGCGAAGGCGGCUGCCUGGACCGAUAUUGACGCUGAGACGCGAAAGCGUGGGGAGCAAACAGGAUUAGAUACCCUGGUAGUCCACGCCGUAAACGAUGAGUACUAGGUGUUGCGGGUAUUGACCCCUGCAGUGCCGCAGCUAACGCAUUAAGUACUCCGCCUGGGAAGUACGGCCGCAAAGCUAAAACUC